This 1019-nucleotide ribosomal RNA is filed under the name Ascomycota sp. NIOCC F46. RNAcentral's name for it is "SSU rRNA". It matches the Rfam family "Eukaryotic small subunit ribosomal RNA", at positions 73 to 1103 of the family's 1831-position model. Lineage: Eukaryota; Fungi; Ascomycota. The record is from RNAcentral.
CUUAUACCGUGAAACUGCGAAUGGCUCAUUAAAUCAGUUAUCGUUUAUUUGAUAGUACCUUUACCUGGAUAACCGUGGUAAUUCUAGAGCUAAUACAUGCUAAAAACCCCGACUUCGGGAGGGGUGUAUUUAUUAGAUAAAAAACCAAUGCCCUUCGGGGCUCCUUGGUGAUUCAUAAUAACUUAACGAAUCGCAUGGCCUUGCGCCGGCGAUGGUUCAUUCAAAUUUCUGCCCUAUCAACUUUCGAUUGUAGGAUAGAGGCCUACAAUGGUCUUAACGGGUAACGGGGAAUUAGGGUUCUAUUCCGGAGAGGGAGCCUGAGAAACGGCUACCACAUCCAAGGAAGGCAGCAGGCGCGCAAAUUACCCAAUCCCGAUACGGGGAGGUAGUGACAAUAAAUACUGAUACGGGGCUCUUUCGGGUCUCGUAAUUGGAAUGAGUACAAUCUAAAUCCCUUAACGAGGAACAAUUGGAGGGCAAGUCUGGUGCCAGCAGCCGCGGUAAUUCCAGCUCCAAUAGCGUAUAUUAAAGUUGUUGCCGUUAAAAAGCUCGUAGUUGAACCUUGGCCCUGGCUGAUCUGUCCUCCUAAUCGAGCGCACGGAUUCGGUCGGGGCUUUCCUUCUGGGGAGCCCCAUGCCCUUCACUGGGUGUGGCGGGGAACCAGGACUUUUACCUUGAAAAAAUUAGAGUGUUCAAAGCAGGCCUUUGCUCGAAUACAUUAGCAUGGAAUAAUAGAAUAGGACAUCGGUUCUAUUUUGUUGGUUUCUAGGACCGCUGUAAUGAUUAAUAGGGACAGUCGGGGGCGUCAGUAUUCAAUUGUCAGAGGUGAAAUUCUUGGAUUUAUUGAAGACUAACUACUGCGAAAGCAUUCGCCAAGGAUGUUUUCAUUAAUCAGUGAACGAAAGUUAGGGGAUCGAAGACGAUCAGAUACCGUCGUAGUCUUAACCAUAAACUAUGCCGACUAGGGAUCGGACGGUGGUUUUUUUAUGCCCCGUUCGGCACCUUACGAGAAAUCAAAG